GACGAACGCUGGCGGCGUGCUUAACACAUGCAAGUCGAACGGUAAGGCCCUUUCGGGGGUACACGAGCGGCGAACGGGUGAGUAACACGUGGGUGACCUGCCCUCAGCUCUGGGAUAAGCCCGGGAAACUGGGUCUAAUACCGGAUAUGACUUCAUGACGCAUGUUGUGGAGUGGAAAGCCUUGUGCGGCUGAGGAUGGGCCCGCGGCCUAUCAGCUUGUUGGUGGGGUGAUGGCCUACCAAGGCGACGACGGGUAGCCGGCCUGAGAGGGCGACCGGCCACACUGGGACUGAGACACGGCCCAGACUCCUACGGGAGGCAGCAGUGGGGAAUCUUGCGCAAUGGGCGAAAGCCUGACGCAGCGACGCCGCGUGAGGGAUGACGGCCU
Molecule: ribosomal RNA, 388 nt
Filed under: uncultured bacterium
Lineage: Bacteria
Description: bacterial SSU rRNA
Rfam family: Bacterial small subunit ribosomal RNA
Source: RNAcentral